UGUUCAUUCCAGGAACUCUCUCUUACACACACACACAUUCUGUGUGACUCACGUUUUAGACACAUUUCUGUGUUUUAGAAAUUUUUGAACGAUCUGAAUCUGAAACUUUUCUUUAACGGACUUCGUGAGAAAUCAAGAUGAAUUUUCCAGCCUUGCUCUCCGAUUCUCUCGGUCUGCCUGCUGGUCUGGUUCUGGUUCUGGACCUUUUCUGGCGAACCGAGGUUCCAAACAGAAACUAAACAGCCCGAACGAGGCACACCUGGCAGCACAUUGAGGGAGACUUGGGCUCAGAACUGGUAGCAACAGGCUACAUGAAGAGACUGGCAAGACAACAAAUGACUCGAGACACGGAGACAUUAAAUACACAGCAGGAUGAACGUCUCGUGUUUCCGCUCGUCUCAACCUGCUGCGGCCACCAUCCUGUUCGACCUGCACACCGACCCCACCAACCUGGGAGAGGCCGGACGGACCGGCGUCCCUCCCGGCCUACGGCGGAGCGGCUCUUCGUCCCGCUGCUCCGCCUGUCUGGACCGCGGACACCGGGAUGUGUUCGCGGUCCGCGGCUCUUUACGCGACGGAGCCGCAGUGAUGAUGGAGGCGAUGGAGGCGAUGGAGAUCACAGCGGCUGCCAAUCAGAGCUUGGAGAGAAAAGAUCCGCGUCCUGUCCCACGUUUUGGAAAAAUCAUAACCUGAAGAGAUUUGGGUUCAACACGUUUGGAGCUCCGGUGGAGCCAGCUGCUUAUUGUCAGAAUAAAUAAAUAAAUGAAAAACAUUAUUAUCCAACUUCCUCUCUUCUUCUUCUCCUUUUUCUCCAGUUGUAACUCUCGGAUCUUGAUCUCAUGACUCUGCAGUUUUACUGCUGAACAAUCAUCUCAACACCGAAAACCUCUGAUCGAAAAUGUCGUUUUAUCCAGAUUAGCCUGUUUCCAUUAAGCUAAUUUAUUUUAUGUUAUGGUUUAAGGAAAUGCAGCUCGUGUUACUGAUCUAAUAAAAGGUUGAGAUCUUUAUCUGAUCAGCAGAUCGAACAGCAGAAUUAUCUUUAUCGUUACUGUAAAAUAAUCAACUUCUCUGAAUCCAACGACGAUUAUUAUUAUUAUUAUUAUUAUUAUUAUUAUUAUUAUUAUUAUUAUUAUUAUUAUUAUUAUUAUUAUUAUUAUUAUUAUUACUAAUAAUAAUAAUUCUCGAACCUUUAAUCUGAUUCAUCAGAGUUAAAAAUUUGCUGACUCUGCAGAAUAUUAUCUAAGCAUUUUAUUUUAAUGUUCCGGUUUCAUGUCGGUUUAUAAAACGCACAGAGAACCGGGCCGAAGCAGAACCAGGUUCGGCUCAUAAUUGACCCGCAGGUCACUGAAACAGUCUCAUUAUGAGAAAAAUGAAUAUUUUCAGAAUAAAGGCCCAAUAUGACCUGAAGUCUUAAGAUUUAGAGAGAAAAAACUUUUCUGAUGAGAAAAAUGUUAAAAUUAUGACCAGCUCGGAAAGGUUAUUUUUUUAAAAUUUAAAACUGUUUCUUAAUAAUAAAGACGCAAUAUGUACAUAUAAAUACAUAUAAAGUGAAACUCUAACCAGCUCCUCCGGUCCGGAUGUUUUAUUUUUAUGUUUCGUCUCAACGAUUAUUUACAAUUUGACUCCGACAUGUUAAAAAAAAAUUAAACAUCUGGAUAUUUAUAAAAAAUAUGCGAAAUCAGAUGCUCAGUAUUCCUCAAUUAAAUUUUUUUAAAUCUUUUUUUUUUAAAUUUCAUUCUAUAACCUUUUUAUUCUGGUAACAUUGUGACUUUAUUAUUACAACUUUAUCCAGGUGAUGUUUUCCACCAAUAAUCCGCAGGUUUUUUUCUUACAACUUAUUUGAGCACAAAUAUUGAUCUUUUUAAAACUUUCACAUUCUCAAACAUGAUAGAUACACGUAUCAAUAAAACAAAACAAAACAAAAUAAAACCACAAAACAUUAACAGGCCAAAACAGAAACAUCGCACAGAUUCAACAAAGUAAAGAUUUUCUCUUCAUCUUCAUUUAAAUGAAUUUAUAAAGAUUCAUAGAAAACAUCAUUUUACAACUUAAAAACCUCCAACAUGAGAAUUAAACAAUAAUUAUUGACUGAUUUUUAGGGCAGAUUGUGAGGAAAACGACCCAAAACGGGUUUCAAAAUCUUAAUUAUUAGAGUUGAAGUUUGACUUCAGUAAAGAUCAGUGAGAAAUGUUAUAAUCUCCUGGAUUGAUUUCUGCUCCACUGGUUUGAAACAGUAGAGAGAAAGUUUUGUUUUGUUUUGUUUAGUUUAGUUUAGUUUAGUUUUGUUUUGUUUUGUUUUGUUUUUUAAAGUUGUUACAAUCUGAAACUAUCUCUGAUGAGAAAUGAAACUGAGAUUGUCUGACAUAAAUAUAGCGUGUUUUAAUAUUCAAGCUAAUAAUAAACUCGGUGACUCAUAAAUGAAUGAAUCGGCCUCAUGCAGACUUUGAUCAACAUGAUUAAUCUCAUUUAUCGCUGAUAUAAAGUUUAUUUUGCCUUUCAUCUUUAUAAUCACAAGAAGCUUCGCUGCUCGGUCGUGUUUUGAUUUUAUGUUCCAACGUGAAUUUUAUUGGUUUUAUUUACCUUUAUUUAAUUUAUGUUUCUGUUUUUAUGUAUUUUCCUGCUAUGUUCACUGAAAAGUAUUUUAAUAACCUUUUAUAUAAAUAAAUAGAAAAAUACUUAUUAAUUGAUCUCCGAAACGGUUCAGCGCGACUCAUUGACUUUUGACGAUAAUCCAAAUAUACAGUAGAUCUGAUGCUUUAAUGAGUGAUAGUGGCUCCACGGCGCCACCUGCUGUUUCCUCAUAUCAUCACACCUGGUCCCAUCUAAUGGAAUUCAUGUGUCGAUGUUUAAACCCGUUUAAACCCGUUUUAAACAUUGACUUGCUGUUGUUCCUGUGGUUCGGUUGGGUCAGCUGACGGCCUCCAGGAGCUUCGUGUCAAUUGAUCACAAAAUUCCACAAACUGGAACUAAAGAAAUAAAUUUGCUUCAUUACAAACUCUUUUUGAUCAAGCUUUGGUGCUACGAUGAUGCGGUUCUUCGGCCGAAUCAAAUGUGAUCAACAACCGGAUGUUACUGCUGGUGGAAAAGACGAAGACAGGAAGAGCAGGAGGAUGGUGGAGAAAUGUGGCCUAAUUUAUCGACUUAUCACUGAACAAACUUAAUCACUCAUCGUGUGACUUCAACUGAGUUUCAUAUUUGAUGGAAACAAUGUCAAUAAUCAGAAUAAUUUCACAUUCAUGUUUACCAGGGGAAAUAAUUUACCAAAUAAUUUGAUCCCAGCAGUUUUGGAUUUUAGCUCAUGAUGUUGAGCUGCUCCUUUAGAAACUGAUUGAGUUUUGGCUCAAAAAGGAAUUUUUUUCAUAAUAUUGCUGAAUAUAAACUAGGACCUGAAUUUGUAUCUGAUCUCAGAUCCAGAACAUAUUUAUGUUUGAAAAAUAUUUUUUAGCAUUUUUUGUAAUCAAAGAAUAUAAAUUCAGAUUUGCAACUCAAAAUUUGUUUAACAAAAUUUGUAUUCUUUCAGUUUUGAAAGAAGCCACUGAGAUUAUGACUUUUAUAUAUUUGAUUUUCUAAGAUGUUGAAAAAUCUCUAGAGAUGAUAAUUAUCACUAAUAACUAUUAUUAUUAUUAUGCAAAGCUGUACAUUUACAUUUUGCAUUUAACAUAAUGCAUUAAUUAAGCAAUGAAUGCUUUUGUUGAAAACUAUUGACCAGCUUGAAUUACCUGAUCAGUUUGAUGACAGAUUGUCUGUUUCGUUACAGAUUGUCUGUUUCGUUACAGAUUGUCUGUUUCGUUACAGAUUGUCUGUUUCGUUACAGAUUGCCCGUCCCUCCUCUCUGAUACUGAUUCACCACAACAUAACAGGCUGGCCCCUUUCAUCCUGGCAUCCUCAUCAUCAUCAUCCUCAUCAUCUUCAUCAUCAUCAUGUUUCAGGAAGAAAUUUGCCACAGAUGAAAUAAGCGCUGGGAGGAAAACUGGACUGGAAACAGGACUGGAACUGGAAAGGGGACUGGACCGGAGUUCAUGUGGAGCAAGUUGCUCCACAGCGGCGUCUGGACUGACGAGCGGCUUAUGUGGACAAGAGGAUUCUCUCAAAUACAUCUCAGUCCAGCAACCCGGACCAUCGUGACACCGGACUGAAACUCCGCCGCCUGCUCGCUUCACAAACUCCAGGAACGUGAAUAAAACUGAUGGAAAAAACUUGUACAACUCAAUUCAGAAAUUAACUGCUCUUAAUGCACGGCGUGGCCGAAAGUACAGCUGAAUCUAAAUGAUUUGUUUGAUUUGUAAAACUCCUCCAGAUAACAUGUAUUGUGAAUGAAUAAAAUGAAUAGAACAUAAA
RNA transcript from Gambusia affinis (western mosquitofish), 4338 nucleotides. RefSeq lists it as uncharacterized. The transcript has 6 exons. NCBI's taxonomy places the organism in Eukaryota, Metazoa, Chordata, Actinopteri, Cyprinodontiformes, Poeciliidae. The record is from RefSeq and is a predicted model, not a curated record.